RNAcentral lists this ribosomal RNA (468 nucleotides) under uncultured bacterium. RNAcentral describes it as "partial 16S ribosomal RNA". It matches the Rfam family "Bacterial small subunit ribosomal RNA", at positions 28 to 507 of the family's 1533-position model. The record is from RNAcentral.
GACGAACGCUGGCGGCGUGCUUAACACAUGCAAGUCGAACGGAAAGGCCCUGCUUUUGUGGGGUGCUCGAGUGGCGAACGGGUGAGUAACACGUGAGUAACCUGCCCUUGACUUUGGGAUAACUUCAGGAAACUGGGGCUAAUACCGGAUAGGAGCUCCUGCUGCAUGGUGGGGGUUGGAAAGUUUCGGCGGUUGGGGAUGGACUCGCGGCUUAUCAGCUUGUUGGUGGGGUAGUGGCUUACCAAGGCUUGGACGGGUAGCCGGCCUGAGAGGGUGACCGGCGAGAUUGGGACUGAGAUACGGCCCAGACUACUACGGGAGGCAGCAGUGGGGAAUAUUGCACAAUGGGCGGAAGCCUGAUGCAGCAACGCCGCGGGCGGGAUGACGGCCUUCGGGGUGUAAACCGCUUUCGCCUGUGACGAAGCGUGAGUGACGGUAAUGGGUAAAGAAGCACCGGCUAACUACGUG